This is a long non-coding RNA of Sphaeramia orbicularis (orbiculate cardinalfish), 2481 nucleotides long. RefSeq lists it as uncharacterized. The record is from RefSeq and is a predicted model, not a curated record. The transcript is spliced from 2 exons. NCBI's taxonomy places the organism in Eukaryota, Metazoa, Chordata, Actinopteri, Kurtiformes, Apogonidae.
GGGUGUUAGGAGGUUAAAGGAUAUACAGUUCUAAAAAAAAAAAAAAGAAUCGGUUAACCAACUAAUCAAGUAGCAGGUCAUGGUAAAUUGUGUGUCAGCCAUUUUUAAUUUUGCUAAGACAACAAAAGCACUUGAACCCACCACACUUAUAAUUUUGAAUUCACAAGUGGAAAAGGUUCAUCUUCCCAACAGCACCUGAAGGCAGCAUAAAUCCCAGAAUUCAACCUAUCUGAGCACAGCUUGAGUCGACAACUUCAGGAUCAAGUAGUUAUUUUAAGUAAAAAUCUGAAUGACUGAAUAGUCAUUUAACUGUAAUAUCCUGCAGAUAUUCAGCUCAAAUGUAAAAAAAAUAAAAUAAAUAAAACAAAUUCAGUCAACAGUCGUGGUCAUUCAGUCAUGUUUUUCCUACUUGUUGCAACUUCAAUCUGCUCUUUAUUGUAAAAAAUGCUACAUGAAAAAAAUUCAGUCAUCGAACAAAUACUGUUGAAUUAAAAUCUCUUUCAUAACAUAAUCUUCACUGAGAGAAAAUAGAUAUUUGUGUAAAUAAAGUCAGUGUCUGAUGGGUUAAACUGAGUAUCUGUGGAUGUCAGACCAUCGACCAUUGAUGUGAGCGUCGCCUUUAAAAUCUGGAUUUAAGGUCAUUUUAGAGGCAGAAUAACUCACCCUAUGUCACCUCUGAAUUUAACCACAUCAGAUAUUUGUCAUGUUUUCAGAUGUAAAAUAAUGUGAAAUGCUUUAGAAAGAAUCAUUUAUCAUUAGACCAGUUUUAAUUUUCUACAGGAAUUCAAUGUAAUCGUUCAUUACAUAAGCUUCUGUUUUUCUGUUUUUCAAUAUGAACAGUUUCUAAAUUCAACUUCAGAUCUUAAAUUCAGUGCUGUCAAAUGAUUAAAAAUCAAAUAAAUAACAAAUAACCGACUGGUUUCUGCAACUUUCACUCAAAGGCCAAAUCGACUGUAAACCUGAAAAGACUCAUGAUUUUGACGUUUAUCGUGAUCAUAUUUUCUGCCAUUUCAGUUUUAUUUGUGAAAGUAUGAAGUGAAGCUGGUAUUUAAUAACAAAGCAGUGACAUUUUCUAAUAAAAACCCGUCUCUCUCUUUCGUUGAGAUAAAUAAAGGCCUUGCGCACUAUUUGAGAAUUUACGGUGUUUUAUUUAAACAUCAUGCUCAACAGAAUACAGACAAAAUGCAUCUGCACAGAGUAGCUGAAUUAUUUUCCUCCGUUCAGUGAACCUUCAUAACUGAGGAAACAGAUUUUAAAAGCGUCACACUUCACAAAGAAAAAAAAAUAAAAUAAAAUAAAAUUUAAAAUCAGACCCCGGCAAUCUGAUCGCCCCUUAGAAAAAACAAAACAAACCCAAGCACCAAUAUUUAUACACGACCGACACUCGACAUCAGCGCAGGAGAAACUGUUACAAAAGAGUCUGAUCAUUCACAUUUGCAUAAAGUUUUAUAUUGGUCCAUCCGUCGUUGCAGCGCUCCAAGCUGCAGGUUCAUCAUUUUAUUUAAUUUUUUUUGUUUUUCUUUAUUACGUAAUGAAUGAAAAAAAGACAAAAACGGUGAAACUAGUAACAUGCAUGUAGCCUUAAAGAUGAGAACAGAAAGAGAGAAACAGGCACUGACCACCAACUACAGCAUAAGCAGUGAAAGAGUCUCAGAACUAGUCACUUCAGGUCGAAAGGAAAGAGUUCGAGUGUACAUCACUAGAAAAAAAAUGACACCGACGACGCUCGGGAAAAUAUACAGAAUCUUUUUUUUACCAGGUGAGAGGGCGGAGGAGGAGGAGGAGGAGAGGAAGAGGAGGAGGAAGAGGAGGAGGAGGACUCACCGGAGUGAUUAUUUUUUUUGGCAAUAUUACAAUAAUUUGGGUUGAAAAUCGUCAAAGUGUGCAAAAAACGUGAAAAAAUGUCAGCUCAUGGAACCUCUCUAUGAUCCAGCUCAGGAAAGACACAUAACCCCAAUUUAGAACAAAUUAAAAACUAGUUUUAAUAAAAAACAACCCAAAUAUGUGCAUAAUAAUAUUAAUUAGAAUAAUAAUAUAUGGAAGAUUUGUUCGGUCGGCGUCCUCUAAGGCCGACUUUGUAACCCUGUUCCCAAUAAGUGACAUAAGGACAGUAAGAUUUUAGGUAGAAAGGAUAAAAGGUGCUUCCACCGCAACAUUUAAUGAAAAAAAAACAAAAAACAAAACUAAUGUACAUUAACGUCUGUGAGUCAUGGCGUUCACAACUUAAUAUCUUACGCAGUUUUUUGUCCUUUUUAAGUGUUUUUUCUCUAUGAAAGCAGAGUUAGUUUAAUGCAGCCAAACCAUGUGUGUAAGAUCGACGGUGUGUUUGUACUCGUUGCAUUUACAGUAAGAAAAGGUGAUUCUUUUAAAAAAUUCAGGUAAUAAAAUGUAUUCAGUUAAUGCUCAUCUGUUACUACACACUUAAAUAACACAUUCUCUGACACGAGAUCAAAAUUAGCACUUCAGUAAAGAAAAAAAAAA